RNAcentral lists this transfer RNA (73 nucleotides) under Firmicutes bacterium CAG:145. It matches the Rfam family "tRNA". Rfam says of the family: Transfer RNA (tRNA) molecules are approximately 80 nucleotides in length. Their secondary structure includes four short double-helical elements and three loops (D, anti-codon, and T loops). Further hydrogen bonds mediate the characteristic L-shaped molecular structure. tRNAs have two regions of fundamental functional importance: the anti-codon, which is responsible for specific mRNA codon recognition, and the 3' end, to which the tRNAs corresponding amino acid is attached (by aminoacyl-tRNA synthetases). tRNAs cope with the degeneracy of the genetic code in two manners: having more than one tRNA (with a specific anti-codon) for a particular amino acid; and 'wobble' base-pairing, i.e. permitting non-standard base-pairing at the 3rd anti-codon position. Lineage: Bacteria; Bacillati; Bacillota. The record is from Rfam by way of RNAcentral.
GGGGCAUUAGCGCAGCUGGGAGCGCGUUUGACUGGCAGUCAAGAGGUCAGGGGUUCGAUCCCCCUAUGCUCCA